This 72-nucleotide transfer RNA is filed under the name Phrynosoma platyrhinos (Desert horned lizard). Its description in RNAcentral is "tRNA-OTHER". The record is from RNAcentral. Lineage: Eukaryota; Metazoa; Chordata; Lepidosauria; Squamata; Phrynosomatidae.
GCCAGCAUGGUGUAGUGGUCUGAGUGUUGGACUAAGGCUCUGGAGACCAGGGUUCGAUUCCCUGCUUGGUCA